RNAcentral lists this unclassified non-coding RNA (167 nucleotides) under uncultured Hyaloscyphaceae. RNAcentral's name for it is "sequence contains ITS1". The record is from RNAcentral. Lineage: Eukaryota; Fungi; Ascomycota; Leotiomycetes; Helotiales.
CAGAGUUCAUGCCCUUCGGGGUAGAUCUCCCACCCUAUGUUAUACUACCUUUGUUGCUUUGGCAGGCCGUCAGGCUUCGGCCAGGCUACCGGCUCCGGCUGGUAAGCGCCUGCCAGAGGACCCUAAACUCAGAAUGUUAGUGUUGUCCGAGUACUAUAUAAUAGUUA